Molecule: ribosomal RNA, 445 nt
Filed under: uncultured Bacillota bacterium
Lineage: Bacteria; Bacillati; Bacillota
Description: bacterial SSU rRNA
Rfam family: Bacterial small subunit ribosomal RNA
Source: RNAcentral
GGGCCCGCACAAGCAGUGGAGUAUGUGGUUUAAUUCGAAGCAACGCGAAGAACCUUACCUGGGCUUGACAUCUACCGAAUCCGCUAGAGAUAGUGGAGUGCCUUCGGGAACGGUAAGACAGGUGGUGCAUGGUUGUCGUCAGCUCGUGUCGUGAGAUGUUGGGUUAAGUCCCGCAACGAGCGCAACCCUUAUUGUUAGUUGCCAGCAUGUAAUGAUGGGCACUCUAGCGAGACUGCCGGUGGACAAAUCGGAGGAAGGUGGGGACGACGUCAAAUCAUCAUGCCCCUUAUGUCCAGGGGCUACACACGUACUACAAUGGCCGGUAACAAAGCGAAGCAAAGCCGCGAGGUGGAGCAAACCGCAAAACCCGGUCUCAGUUCAGAUUGCAGGCUGCAACUCGCCUGCAUGAAGUCGGAAUUGCUAGUAAUCGCGGAUCAGCAUGCCG